CCUAGUUUUUUUUUUCCUCCUCCGAAGCUUUUACAUAUCAUUUGUACAAGCAGGAAGCAUCUAUCUAAAAAUUUCUGACAGCAAGAUCCAACAGUUAUGCUCCGUUGAAUAUUGCAAUUAAGUGAUAUACAGCAAAUCAUCUUCGACUGUCCAAUCACAACCCAACUUCUACUACAAGUCUUAAAAGUUGUUAAGCAAACUUCGUACGACAAAACAAAGUGAACAUUAAAAGAAUCUUGCAGUAAAAGAUAACAGCAAAUUCAGACACGUUCACUUCAGGGUCAGUAGAGGUCUUAGCAUGCUCAGCAGCAUCAAUUGAUUUUCACCAUCACCUAUAAUAGCUGAACCUACCUAUUAAGCAAAUGAGAUUACCGCAUCGAAUUCAGGGUUUAGUUUAGUAUAGUUAUUUGUAUUUAAAUUCCAAUACCUGUAAUCUGUUCUUUCUCGUGCUAUAUGUAUCUCAUUCUAACAUACAAUAAUCAAUUUUUAAUAAUAAAAAUGAGUGAAAUUUUUAACAAAAAAAUCAAUUUACUCUUUAAUCUAAUAUAUAAAGACUAAUUUGAUUGUUCUUCGAGUGGACGGUAAAAUACAAUCCGACCCCUAUAAAACAAGAGCCUCCAUGGUAUUUUACCAUUCUUUUAAGGCCUAACUAUAACCUCACCGUAAAAUUAGUAUUGAUACAUCAAAACAGUAAAACGAGUAUAUGAGCUUAACAAAGGUUUGAAUCAAACUAUUCAAGUUAUUCAAACGCUAACACCUGCAGUCAAUUCUGUUAUCUCUAAAACUACGGCCUUCACCGUAAGAGAAAAGUAUUUAUGCAACAGUAGUAAAAACAGUAUGUGUUCAAAAUAAAGCAUUGAAUCAAACAACAGCAGUGCCAACAGUUAGAUUGGUAGAAUAUUAUUCAAUCAAAAACAGAAAAUAAUAAAGACUAGGUUUAUCUCAGUUACUAGAAAGGGACCGGGUUAAGCUAUAGAUCGAAUAAUACAGUAAUAGCAGCAAUAAGAGUUUAGAUUAAAUAGCUCCAUCAAAAUUGUUACAUACAAAGCAUAUUAAAACACAAUACAAAAUAAUGCAACAAAGACAUUUUGCACCUCAUCAUUUACGUCAUAUGUAUGCAUUCUCCGCCAAAGCCAGUUGGAAUCCGUCUUCCCCGAAACUUGAAUAAAAAUGAAGAAUGAAUUUACAUAUAGCACUUUUCCCCCGGAAAAAGAAUAUAUACACCAAUGACAUUCAGAACCUGUCACCAAAUCAAUUGCUCGUAUAACAUUCUAACUAGCUAUGUUAAUCUCACUAUUCAUUUUUCUUGAAGUACCUAUGUCUGAUGCAUAACCAGACAUGGAUACAAGGAUAUGACACUUGAAGAAAUUGAACAUAUCUAUGUCGGAAAUAUACCCAAGUCUGAGUAACAUAGCUGAGCAGUCUAACCACAUUUCAAACAAACAUCCACAAUACUAUUAGAGUGAUUAAGCAAUAACUUACUAGUGUGUUUCAAGCAACUCAAUGAAAUCCUUUAUUCUCUCAAGUCACAACCAACCAUUAUAAAAGAAUUAAGCUCUUACCUUAUACUUGAGGUCUUCGUGCAAGACAAAAUCCAAGAACCUACACAAUGUAGAAAGACACCAAUACAUAGUCCUUUCACAUGAUUAAAUUGUCCUUUAAUUAAGUAAUCCAUUGGUAGCAUAAACUAGGAUUUUUUUUACCCUAAAACAAUGCCAUGUUGCAGAAAACACCAUUGAGGUGUUGAACCCUAAAGGUUGAUGACUAGAUGGCAUAUUGUACCCCUUCUAUGCAUCGAACACUGUUAGGCAUGGAUGGAAGAUAGAGAGAAUGAAAAACAGAGAGGAAAAAGAGGGGAAGAAGGUUCUUUUUCCUUUCUGUUCUUUAGCAUAGAGGAUGGAAAAUAAACAUAACAGUCAAUUUAAAUAGAAAGAAUCCAGUUAUUUAACAUGCUUAUAUUUCCCUCUUACCAAACGAAGGGAUGCAACAUAGUUUAACAUGUAGACUUCUCUAAGUCUCAGGUGAUCAGUUAGGUGGAUACCAAUGGAUUUCUUGAUUAAGGGUGUCAUUACAAAGACUCGAGGACCAUUUAAGCUGAUUUAGGUGCUAGUAAAAUAGAAUGAAAAUGUCUGUAUUCCAGAUUAUAUGUCUUCACAGAUACAUUUUUAGAGUAAACCGGGUAAGCUGAGGAUAAGAUGCCAUCAUAAAUUGAACAACCAAUGAAAUUAAGAAAAUGCAGAAGACAAAUGUCAGAUAAUAACCCAGCACUCUCAGUACAACUGCCAGUGGAUGGAAGAAGGUACAAGGUUUAGAACCCCUAAACAAAUGCAAACUAAAAACAGAAAAAGAUGCAAAAUAAGGAAAUAAAAGUCGGCAACAAGCAUGCCGGCUAGCUAGGUUCUUGGGCGCACAAAUAACAAAGCUUGGUGCUUUUGGUGGCAUGGAAAUGGAAAAUUUCAAAGAGAAAAAUAAGAUCUCCAUAUAUAUUUGGUCCUUCUAGGUUGUAGCAUCAGGGUGGGCCAUGAGUAUGUCAAACCCUGGUUCAUCUGGUCUUCAGGUUUAGGCAGGCUUCAUCAAAGUAGGCAGUAGGCUAGAUUCAGGCUUCGUAAGUCUCAGCUGUUUUAGUGGGAUUGGAAAGGCAUCAAAGGGAAAACAAGAGCAUCAGAUCUGUAAAUAGGGAAAUUGGAUAGGCUAUGUUAUCAAACUGUAUACACUAGUAUGUACUGGACAAUAUCAGAGAAGUGCCAAUUAUAACACUAGACAUAAGAAUACCAAAAUGAAAACUACAAUCUAUCUGCACGUACCACUCACGGAAUUUUAGUAACCAUAGUUUUAGCGCCGGGAAACAGAGGUAUGGCUUGAUAACCUGGUAAGAGAAGUUAACGAUGAAUACUGAAGAAUCCUAAGAGAGUGUGCAUGUACUAAUCUAACGAAACUAAGACUCAAAGACAUGCUUGGGAAAGAACAAACUGUAAACUGGCAUUGUACCCUCGAAGACAACUUCAUGUCAUGUAGUUCAAAUUUAAAUAUAAUGUUUAUGAUAGUGCAAUCACUCCCUCAGCCCCAAGCAUUUUUCCUGCAUUAGAUGAUAUUCAUGACAGUAAUGUGAACAACAAGAAAUAUGUUCUUUCAAGGAAAGAAAUUAUUCUCACCCAGAAGGACCACCACGUCCUGAAGAAUAAGCUCCAUAAGCACCAGGAGUACUACCAAUCUACAAAUAAUAUCUAAGAAUCAUAAUUAUUAAUUAUCAGCAUAGAGAUAGAGAGAGAGAUUGGGACAAUGUAAACAAAAUGAGAAAGCUAAAAUAUUAUAAGAAGCCAAAUAAGAAAUAAAUACUGAAGGGAAUAAGGAUUUAAGGGACUAAAAUUAUUUUCACUUGAUAAAUCGGAUAACGAAGUCCAACAAACUAUAUUUCUACAAUUCACCCACCUAAAGUACAGUAAAAUAGUAGAAGUUGUCAAAAGGAAAUACCUGGAGACCACCAUAACUUCCAUAGCCGUCACUAGCAGAUAAAUCACUAGAGCUAUAACCACCAGAAAAGGAGUGCACACGUCCAUGCCUUUUGCCCUCUCUACUUUCAUAACUUAAAUUGUCGGUUCCUUCAGUUGGCACAUGAAGAUACAGUAAAACUGGCACUAACGCAUUAACAGCACCUUCCCUAUCAAAUAGAUUUGCUCUUAACCGUGUUGUUAUUUGUACAAGGGCAUCCUUUGCAACAUCAAGGUCUCCAGCAAUCUGAAUAAUAACAGACCAACCAUGUUCUGUUCGUAUAAUUUUUUUUUUUAAAAAAGAGCCAACAAAUAGAAAGCAAUGAUUAAGAAAAUCCUAUAUAAAUGAUAGAACACCUGAACCAUCUCAUCAUCUUCAGAUGCAAUUUUUGGAAGAUUCUCCUUUGACAGGAUACGGAUAUUAGCUUUUGUGAUCCUUCUCAUCUCCGUUACAAUAGCUCCUCCUUUACCAAUAAGGCAACCAAUACGUGAGGUUGGCACAAGUAAGCGGGUUGUGAAUGAUACAAUUCCAGAGUCUCCUUCAACCUUCUCACUGCAUCUAGGUUGCAACCGUGCAGCAGCUUCGUUAGCAGGUGAAUACCUAUCCUCAAAGAACUAAUACAGCAGAAGAUUAGGAACCCCGUCAAAGCUUAGCAUAAGGCAGAGCAUAGACAAAUAAACAUAGCAAAGAUGAAAAGCUGACCUCCUUAGCUGAUAUAGUUAUUAAGCAAUCAUCUCCAUCUGUAGCUGAGCUAUCUACUUUGAUGGCUGCACCUGAUUCCUGCCUGAUCUAGUUGAUUAUAGCACCACCUUUGCCAAUCACCCCUCCAAUAUUAGCAGUUGGACAAACCAAACGAAGAGAAAAUUCUUUUGAUGACAUCUCAUCUCUUGGAGCUAAGUACAUGGAGCGUGGCCAUUCUCCAGUGUCACCUUUGUAUCGUCCAUAAGGUCCAACCAAUGAAGUUAUCCCUACAACCUGGGCACCAGCAGCUGCACCAAGCAUUGCACCAGCAGGAGGAUAUGCAUUUGACACAGCAGAAGCAAGCAAGUGCUGAGAUCGUGAAGGGUUCUCAUGAAGGCGAGAUGCAAUUUGAUGCAGAGCCUUUUUCACAACUGCAGAUUCCCCAGAUAUCUAAAGCCAAAAGUAAAUUUAAAUAUAAAAAGGCCAACCAUUUGAUAACAUUAUUAAUAUUAAAAAAAUAAAAAAGAACUAACAAUAUUACAGAUAACAAACAAAAGAAGGUGAAAUUUUCAGGAAAAAACAUACAAAAAAUAUAACAUAUUAAAAGCAUGCCAAAAACAGUCUCAAAAGAUAUAAUUCAUAAACUGAAGAACUCAAAGAUGAAAAAUUAAAUGCUGAUUUUGUCAACUACAGCAAUCAAAUCAACAAAAUCUUUGUCCAAUGUUGACCCUAAACACAAUAAAAGCCUCUUGCCAAUGCUUUCAAUAAAUUGAAACUCAUCUCAGCAUAACUUUUUCCCAUGUCGGUGUAUGGGCGUAAACUAUGUUUUAAAGGAGAGAAGAGAUUGUUAAAUGAAUAAGCAAAAUCUGAAAGUACUACAACAAUAAUCAAAUCGUCAAAUUACCUGUACAAGUUCAUCUGUGGACAAGGCACAAGAAGGUAAAUCAUCCUUAAGGAUGCGAAUCUGAGCACCAGUUUCACUACGUAUGUUCUGAACGAUCUGUCCACCCUUUCCUAUAACACAUCCAAUCUGAUCAGAAGAUACAAGAAGCCGAGCAGUAAUUUGGCAGCCUUCAGAAUCUUCAUCACUGUGCAAAUCUUCUGCAACAACUCUGUCAUGCACCCUGAAUAAAGCAUCUUGAGCAGAAGAAACAAAAGUAUGCCCAUCUUCAAGGGCAUUUCUCUCAUCUCUAGAGCUAUAGAUAGUAACCACGCGCUCAUCAGAACCAGGAAUUGCCUCACCAAUUCUAAUCUUUGAUUUAGUGUCUGCUCUUAAUUGCUUAACAAUCUCCCCUCCCCUUCCAAUAAUGCCUCCUAUCUUUCUUGCAGGGCACAAAUACCUAUAUACGGUAUCAUCUGAAUCAAUAACAAAUUGUUCCCUGUCAUCACCUGCAUUUCUCCUCUUAUUUGAUCCAUUCUCAGAAUAGUCAGACUGAGAAUGAGCCCGCUUCCCAUAGCUAUUCCUCUGACCCGCCAUUAUUAUCAGCAAAAAUAAAUACCUGGUUCCAAGACAAUAGUAAAACAUUACAAAUACUAAUUGAACCAAUCUUGAGGAUCGAACCACCCAAAAUGUAAAGCACCAGCACAAAAUGCUCAUCAACAGAACAAAUCAGUAACUAAAUUAUUUUCAUUUUUCAAUCAUCAAAGCAUAAUUCAGAUAACAUUAUAUCUCCACUUAAAAUUAAUUGUUGGUUUGAGUUUCUUAAUGAACAUUAAAACGCGCAUAAAAUUUAUGAUUGAACAAACACUAGAUUCCAACCAUGAUAGCAAAACUAUCAGUAAAAACAAUGAAAACAAAACAGUUAGCUCUCCACAGCUCAGCUUUACAACUAGGCAAAUUCAAAGAUAAAUUACUAACUGUAUCUCAACUUUGACCCACAAGUUUAUCUUCCAUAACAAAUAAAAAUCCCACUUCAAAUCACCCAUCCAAAAUUAAUAUAACAGACAAUAAAGGGAAACCCAAUAUUAGAAAGAUUCAAUUACGUAAAAGAAUAAAAAGUUCAAAUCAACCCACAAAUGUAAACAGCAUAAAUAUAAAUAGUCUCCGAAAACUGACACAAAACACAUUAUAUUCAAUAAAGAAACUAUAAUUCCGCUCAUCAAAUACAGAAAGAACGAUAAUUCCAGUCAAAAAUGAAUUUAAAAAGAAAAUAAGAGCAGAAAAUGUAGAUUGUAGAUCUGAUUAAAAGAGUAUUUAAAAAAAGCAAGAGCAAUCAGAGGGGAAUUAAUUGCCAAAAGAUAAUGGGGUUUUACCUGAGAAUUGAGAUUGAUUCUCAGCGUCUAAACAAUGUGAUUUUUCAACAAAAAUAAUGAAAAAAAACAAGGACUAAAGAGAGAAUUUGGGGGCGCUCUGUUGAAUAAUUUGCUUUCAUGAGCUCAUUUGAUUUCUAACUUGUUGGAAAUGAUUAGUUUUUGUAUUUUUCAUUUUUCUAUUUUAUUCGUGUUGAAUGAAUUUAUAAAUAAGAUUUUUUUUUACUAUAUGGAUAUUAAUUUUUUAGUCAAGGAUGUUUACAGUGUAACCCGGGUUCGAGUCAUGUUAGUGGCAUUAUUUGUUCGAGCUUUAUUAUUUUAUUAUAAUUUACUAAAAAUAAAAAAAUAACUUUUAUAAUAAAAUAUUUUCUCUUAUUAAAUAUGUAUAUAGAUAAUGUUUGAUGGAGCUACAAAUUAACUUAAUAUUUAAUUUCUUAAAAAUAAAAUUUUAAUAUAGAAUUUUAUUUUCACUAAUUUGAUAACUUUUUAUAUGUAAUAGAAUGAUAAAUAAUUAGAGUAUAUUUGAUAUUAUUAAUAUGAUAUAUUUAACUAUUUUAAUUUUUUUACUUGUAAGUUAAAUUUUUUUUAUUUUAAUUUCGUACAUAAUGCAUAUAUGUUCUUAUAUUUUUAAUAUGUGUUUUUCACAUAUAUUUACGUGUGUCUAGUUAAAAAUAAAAUACAUAUAUGUAAAAAAAAUUAAAAAAGUAAAAAAAAAUCAAUUAAACCCUUGUAUUAAAUUCACAUCCAAUUGAGUCUUUGUAAAUAAUUAAGAUAAUCAAUUAAGCUCAAAUUUACAUUUUAUUCAUUUUAGUUCCUAAUGUACGAAACUAUUAAUUAAGCUUAACAAUUUUGUCUUUUUUUUCAUAUCUAAGCUUAAAAUAUAUUAAUUUAACACCUAAAACUUUCAAUUCUCAAUUAUGAAAAUUUUAAAAAAAUUAACAGUCUUGUAAAUUUAUAUAUGGGCUAAUUAGAUUAAGGUUCUACGAUCUCAAAAAUAUAAAAAUUAAAAUAAAAUGAUUAAAUUGCACUAAAUAAUAUUGUAGAAUAAAAACUUGGUAUUCGGCUAUGGUGUUUUCUCCUUUAUUUUUUCUCAAAAAUAUAAAAAUUACAAUAAAAUGACUAAGUUGCACUAAACAAUAUUGUAGAAUAAAAACUUGAUAUUCCGCUAUGGCGUUUUCUCCUUCAAUUUCUCUCAAUUUCGCUGGGAAGAAGAUGUGUUAUCUUUCUUCCCACCAAUUCUAUAAUAUAUACAUAUAUUACCCUUAUACUUAGUUUUAAUUAAUUAUGUUUACCUUUAAUUAAUAAAUUUUAAGCAUAAUCAUGUUAUAUCGUCCACUAGCGUUUGGUUUAAUAUGGUCUAAUUGCCAUUUUAGACCUUUAGCUAAUUAAAAUUUAAGUCGUAAAGUUAUUUUUUAAUUGAAAAUUUAUAGUGAUUAAACUUUACAAUUUAGUCCCUAAGCCCUAAUUAAACACAUUUUUGGCUAAAUUACUUAUCCAAAAUUCUAUAUAAUAACUCUGUAAUUAUUUAAUAAAAAUAUUUACGGGUUCAAUUUACAGAAACGAGGUCCCGAAAUCGUAUUUUCCGACAUUUCGGGUUGUUACAUUUCUAACAUGAAAGGGCUGUUACAUUUCUAACAUGAAAGGGCAUGUUAAAAAAUUAACUGAGGAGGUGCAGACUCUAAAAAGUCAGUUGAAAGAGAAGGCCAAAAAGAUUGAGGAUUUUACAAUCGAGAUUUUUAAGAAAAAAGAGUCUUAUGCCGCUGGUAAAGCCUCGUUUACCUUGGCUCAAGGGAAGUUGUUGGACUUAUUUCAGGACCAACUGUCUUAGCCCUACAAGUUGUCUAUGGUCCUUUCGACUACCGGCAGUUGAACUUGGCACCUCUACUAGAAGAGGACUUUGAUUUGUUAAGCUUCGAUCUGAACGAUUCGGAUCUUGACAAUUACAAAUGGAAAGAGUUUCGAGAGUGACUCCAGAUUCCUUUGACUACUCCGAAGGAGACGCCUUCUGCUGAGACAACAAUAAGAAAUGCCUCUACUGAAAGUGAUCAUGUAGGUAAGGAGUCGGAUGGUGGUUUUUUAAAAGAUAUAGAUCCCCCUACUGCUAAUGUUACCUUCAAGAAGAAUAAUGUUAACCUUGCUAAGAAUAAUACUUGUAAUACUAGCCAUAAAUCCCUUGUUGAUGUUGAGUGGCUUAUUUUCUCUUAAUAAAUAAAAUUAUAUUUUCCUUCCAUUCCCUUUCUGCUUCGUUGUUUAUUUAUUCUUAGGAAAGUUUCUUUCAAAGUAAUUAGGUGUAAUGACCAUUCGUUAUUACUAUGACGCUUUCAUUGACAAACGCUAAUACCUGCAAGUUUGCUAACUUUGAGAGAACUAAGAUAUUGUGUCGUCAAAUUUCUUGUCAUUUAGAAGGAUUCGAGUGUACAAAAGCUUUUCUAUUAACAUCUUCUAGUGUAGGAAUUACUUUUCUUAUUUUCUUGAUAGAAAUAUUCGUUGUGAUUAUUUAUCUUGGAUAAAAUCUUUCGAAUGACCCUACCACUAAACCAAUUUACCACGACUUUAAACUUGUAUUAAUGGCGUAUUCUUUUCUAAUAACACUAAUGUUUUCUUUGAGAAACAUCCUUUUUUAGGGUCAUUUCUUGAGUACUAGAACAUUUUGGAAAGUCCUGAUCCCACACAUAUGGGGAGGCUUACGAGAGGUCCUGCUCCUACCACAUAAGGAGAGGCUUAUGGGAGGUCCUACUUCCUACUAGUUGACUUGCAUCUACGUUCUUCAUAACCAAGUCUCCUACCAGAAACUCCCACCUAUGCACCUUGGAGUUGCAGUAUUUGCCCACCUAUUGAGCUCUAGCUACUAGGCAGAGGGUUGCUUAAUUUCUGGUUUCUUCUAGGAGAUUUAAGUUCUCUCAGAGCAUAACUUCGUUAGCUUGGGAGGUAUAAUGCAGCAUACGAUGGAUGUUGGGGCCAAUUUCUAUGGGUAUCACCAUUCCAGUCUCAUAUAUAAUAUUAAAGGAAUCUCUCAUGUUCCUAAGAGACCAUAAAAUUCUAAUGAGUUCCUCCAACCAUCUGUUCUUGGCCGCAUCCACUUCCUUCUUCAGCCCUUGGAGGAUUUUCUUAUUGGUGCCCUUGGUUUGACCAUUCGUUUAUGGCAUCUUGACUAAACUGUGUCAAAUAAAUGUGAAGAUUCUCACAAAAAUCCUUAAAUUUCCUUUGAAUUUGGGUUCCGCUGUCUGCACAUAGAAUCCCACACCAGCAAAUGAUGGUCUUUCACACAAAAUUUUCCAUUUACUUUUCAAUGAUGGUGGCAAAGGCUUCAACUUCCAUCCACUUGGUGAAAUACUCGAUGACUAUCACAAUAUGUUUCUUCUACACAAAAACAUGUGAAAAUGGGCCAACUAUGUCAAUUCCCCAAGUGUCGAACGGCCAGAGACUAGAGAUGCUUUGGAGAGUUUCGUUGGUCAUCGAGGCGCCGGUGAGAAUUUUUGGCAAGGUUCACAAUUGGCGACAUAUUUCACCAUGUCUUUCUACAUUAAGGGCCAGUAGUAACCCUGCCAUAGGAUUCUUUAAGUGAGAGCCCUUGCACCCGAAUGAUGUGCGCAAAUUACUUCAUGGACUUUCGCCAUUAUAUCAUCAGCUUCGGAAGGUACCAAACACCUAAGGAGUGGUUGGAGAAAUCUCUAAUAGGACCCCAUCAAUCAAAAUAUAAUGGGAAGCCAACCAUCCUACCAUUUCAUGCUCUUUUGGGUUCCUAAACACAUUUUCUUCUAUUAAGAAUCUCGAAUACGGCUCAUCCAAGUGUCUUUAGAGUCAACAGUGAAAACUUGCUCCGGUGCUUCAUGACUUGGAUGCUCAUUGUGUUCCAACAAGAUUUUCCCCCUUUCCAUGAUGUUGAUGGUGCCGGCUAACUUUAAGAAGGCAUCUGCUCUGGCAUUUUCUGUGAUUAGGAUUAACUUGAAUUUUCGAGAACCCCUUAACUAGAUCCAUAACUAAGUAGUACUUGGCCAGUGUUGGUUUUUUUGACAACGUACUCUCCCUCAACUUACUUCGCCACUAGUUGUGAAUUCGUGUGGACAUGGAGAUUCCAGAUGCUUAAUUUAUGAGCCAAUUCUAGUACUACCACCAGGGCUUCAUAUUCAACAAUAUUGUUGGAGGUGGAGAAAGAGAAGGACAAAUUGUACUACUAUUUUUCUCCUUCAGCUCCUACUAAUAGAACUCCAGUUCUAAAACCUUUUUUUUUUUAAAUUCGUUUACAUAGAGAAUUUAAUAAUUUUCUUGCAAUGGAUUAGGGUUCACAAAAGGACCUUUUGGGUAGUUGAUGAACCUCAUCGGGGUUGUUAUUAGAAGCUUUGAAUGGUCAAGAAAAUGAGCACUCAUCUAUGAAGUUAGCUAGAGCUUGGGGCUUGACUGCCUUCCACAAUAGAUAUUCUGGCCUAAAUUCACUUAGCUCGACACUUCAUUUGAUCACCUUUCUAAAAGUGUCAACCUUGCCCAGGAUAUCCUUAAGUGGUUGGUCGGAUAAGACCACGAUGGGGUGAGCUUGAAAAUAAGGACGGAUUUUUCUUGCAACCAUUACCAAGGCAAAGACAAUCUUUUCUACCUUGAAGUAGUUUAGCUCUUCGUCUUGCAGAACCCUGCUGACAUAAUAAAUUGGUUACCGUUGUCCACCAAUUUUCUUAAACAAGCCGCUGCUACUGUUUUGUCGGAUGCAACAAGAUACACAUACAAUGGUGACGAAACAGUAGUUUCGAGACCACAAAUUUUUAUCGUAUCGACUCGUUAUUAUUAUUUUUAGAAUAUUUAUAGAGUUAUUAGAGUCAUAUUAAAAUUGUUCGGAAAUAUUAACGUUUAGAUACUUAAUUAAAUAAAAUGACUAAAUUGAAAAAAGUGCAAAAAUUAGUAAUUAGUUCAAUUAAAUGAGUAAAUGGCUUAUUAAUUACAUGAGGGACCAAUAUAAUAAUUAAUCCCUAAUGGAUAGUGUUGGACGGCAAAAGGAGUUAAAAUGAUAAAUUAAUGUGAUUUUAAUAGCAUAAUUGUAAAUAAAUAGAAAUUAAAUAAAACAAAUUAGAAGAAAUAAGUUUUUCUUCUUCAUUUCUUCUUAUUCCAUUGCCGAAACACCAUAAAAGUAGUUUGGGAAUCGGUUGAGCAUAAAAGCUUGCAUGUGAGUUUAAUUCUUACCUGUUUCUUGUAAUUUUUAUGUUUUUGAGAUCGUUGCAACUAGGUCCAACUAACCUGUACAUUCGUUUCUAAUUCUGUUAAAAAUUUUGUAAGUUACAAUUGUUGAAUAUUGGAUUUUUUAUUAAUAUAAUGUAUUUGGAGCUUUAAUUUUGUUGUUUGAUGAUUUUGUAAAGAGUUUUUUUGUUAAAUUUUAAUUUUACGAUUAAAUUGUGUAAAUUCGAAAAAUAAAAGGGUAUUAAUUGUAAAAUGGAUCGAAAAUGAAAUAUAUGCUAAUAAAUGAGUAAUUUUACAUUUUAGAUCAAGAUCCCAUAGAUACUCAUAGAAAAGGAAAAAUAGUGGAAUAGUACUUGAACUUUUACAACUACUACAAUUUAGUCCAAGUAAGUUCGUACGGUUAAAAUUUAACAUUUCUAUACAUAGGGAAUUGGUAUUACAAGAUAUAAUAUAUAUAUAUAUAUGUUCCAUUGUUGGAAAUGAAUCAUUAUUUGAGUUAUAAUAUUGAAUUUGAUGCUCGAUUUCAAUUGAACGCGAGAUAGAGUACAUUCUUGUUUUAAUGUGUUACAUGGGUUUAAAGUGGAGAUGGUAUUAGAGGGAGAUAUCUGUAUAUUACCCAAGUAAAAUGAGGUUCAGCAUUUGUUGCAAACUCUUUUCUGUUUGGUGUGAUUCAGGUGGAUCAGCUCUUAUGAGAUUUUGUUCAGUUCUUAUGAGCUUCUGUUGGCGUGUUUCGGGUGGACCAACUCUUAUGAGCUUCUGUUUGGCGUAUUUCUGCUGGAUCAGCUCUUAUGAGUUUCUGUCUAGUGUGUUCGGUCUAUCUGACGAUGUACUCGUACCCGUAAGUCAUUCUUUGAAUGGAAAAUCUCGAUAAGGUAAUCUAUUUAAUGAAUUUGAAAGAUAUGGUACAUAUUCCAUAUUCAUAUGAACAUAGAUGAACUUAUCGAUUGGAAUUGUAAAUGACAAGGAGUUUUCAUGGAUGAUUAUUAUUGUUAGACUUAUUAUAAUUUGUUUAAUAAGAUUUAUCGUUUAAUAUGUCGAACUUACUAAGCUUUAUUAAGCUUACUUGUGUUGUUUAAUGUCAUUAUAGAUUCUUGGAAGGUUGGACGAUCGGAUCAGUACUCAAGUCACACUAUCCAGCUCAUUUUGGUAGUUUUUGGAACGUAUAAUACAAACUAUAUUGCAUGUAUAGGCUCUUGUGUGGUUUUGGUUAUUGUUUGGCUUAUAUAAAUAUUAUGAAUGAUAUUUUGUGCAGAUAAACAACUUAAAUAUUACAUGAGAAUGAGAUAUAAUUUUUAUGCUAGUAUGAAUUGGUAUAUAUAAAUGAAAUAUUGCUAUUGUGGUACCUUUGAUAGGUCUUUUGAUUAGGUAUUUCUUGAAUGAAUCAAUUAAUUGAAUUGAUGUUUAUUUUGAUGUAUAAUUAUAUAUAUGGUACCAAGAGGGUACAUUGGUUAGACACUUACUAGGUUGGUUUUGUUGUGUUUUUGGUUCAAUUAAUGUCAUUUUGAAUUGAUAUUUUGGUUGGUAUUUGAGUUUCUUAAGGUCCAAACAAACUUGAAAUGGUAAACCUGUGUUUUAAGAUUCAUUUGGGGGCUACAUGGCCAUGCGACAUGGCCGUGUGUCCCUUGUAGGUUCAAGGCAUGCAAGUCAGGUAGUUACACGGCCUAGCACACGGCUUGGCAUACGGGUGUGUGAAGCCAUCACGGGCGUGUGACUUGGUUGUGUGACCUAAGUCAGUGAGUUACACAGGCAUGUACACGGCCUAGUCAUACGGCCGUGUGAUCCCUACAUCUAAAUUUUCUAACUUUUUCUUAAAAUUUCCAAAUGUUUUCGAUUUAGUCCCAGACUGUUUCUAUAGUAUUUUUAACAAAGUAGAGGAGAUCUAUGUUGGUUUUGUGGAUCAUUUUAAUGGUGGAUUCUGAUUUUUCAGAGUUGAACUAACUAAAUACAUUCCCUGUUGCACCAUACGCUACUACUUAUGAUUGGAACUACAGCUGGAUUUACAUAACAAAUAUUCGAUAUACAAAUGGAUAUCCUCUUUUAGCUGUUGAAAAUUGAAAAUCAUGUAUUCAUUUAUUCAUGCUCCAUUAUCAGGUAUGGAGUUUCUUUCAGAAAAAUAAAAUCCAUUCCGGGACCCAUGUUUCUAGGUUCAACAAUGAUUGAAAGAGUAGAAGAAGAAGUUGAUUGAUGUAAUGUUGGUCAUUUACAUGAUUCUCACCGUUCAUCAAACAUCCAUGUGAUCUCUCAUUAUUUUAAAUUGCAGAAUAUAAAAGAUGAUGAUAAACUUGUCCAUUAAAGUAUUACGGAGAUAUUGCAUUAGGAGUCGGAUUUUAUUGUCUUUUAAGUUCAAAAAAUAAGUAAAUUAGUCUUUGUACAAUAAAUAAAAGAGCAAAUUAAUCUUGGAAUAUUAAAAAUUGGUUAUUAUAUGUUAACAUGCAUGAAUUACACAUGGUACACUAUUCCAUCAUCCACAUCAAAUUGAUGAAAUUUUUAACAGAAAGAACAAAUUUGCGCUUUGAUCUAACGUAAAGAUAUUAAUUACCCAUUUUCUGAGUAGAAGAGUAAAAUGUAAUCUGAUUUUUAGUACAAAUACAUUUAUGAUAUUUUAACCAAACUUUGACGCAUAAUUUUUUAUUAGGGGUAUGAUAAUGGUUUUAGAAAAACAAAUGUUAUAGACUUAACUGAAUCAAAUUGUAUGAGUUUAGAUUGGAAAAAUAAAUAAACAGUAUCAGAGAAGAAAGAAAAGAUGGUAUUGUUCCGUAAUGUGGUGAAAGGGUCACUAAAUCUAUAUCAUUAUAAUGGAGUAUUAGUUGUUAGUUUAGGUUCCAUUAUCAACACCUCUCUUCUAAAAAGAGAAUCCUGGAAAUUCUAAGACAGCUAGUAGCAUUACUAUUAUUUGAUAGAGCGAUGUUUGGACAAAAUGUGCAGUGGUGUGAGAUUAUGGUUUCAGAUUUUCAUAAAAUAUAGUGAUAAUUGCAGGCAAAAUAAGGUGUAUGAAGCUUGGGGGUUCCGGUCUUUGAGCUCUUUGUGUCAGUAUGGAUAUAUUUGGAAGGAGGUUUGAUUGGUUAUUUUUCGAGUAGAUUGAUCCAACUCCGCAAAAUCUCAAAAACAGCUCUAGUUUAAAUAAAGUCACUUGCACAGUACAUUUCUCAACUAUUCUCUAUACUUACAUCCUCCAAUUAUCAAUAUUUCAUUUUAAAAUAUUAAAAAGAACUCAUAACUUUAAAAAUUAAAUUAAAAAUAAAAGGAGUUUCAUCGUUACAAAAGUUUUGGAAACUUCAAAAUUAAGACAUUUACAUUAUUCAUUUUCUUUUAGAUAUUUCAUUUAAAAUUAUGUCACAUAAAAUUUAACUAGUCAUUUAAUAAUUAAAUUAACGAUUUUAAUAAUAAAAUGACCUAAUUAACAUAGCUUUAAUAAUUUAAAUAAUUUCAAGUCUAGAGACCAAUUUAAAAUGAGAAUAUUUGAUUUGAUUAAGUUGUUUUAAUAUUACCCGAAAUAUUAUAAUAGAUUAUGUUGUUGAGUAAUAUUUAAUCUAAUUAUUAUUAGAUAAAGUAGUACAUAUUUGAAUAUAAUUAAAAAAAACAACAUAAGAAAGUUAUAAUAAUUUGUCCGUUAAAAUCCAACUUAUUUGAUAAAAUUGAAACAAUAAAACAAUAGGAGCAACAUGAAAUUGGUUCAAUAAAUACAAAUUUGUAAUUAUAUCAAACUAUAAGGGUACUUUCUUAUGAUCUCUUUUUCUCUAUAAAAUCCUCUCCUACUCUUUCCCAUUCUAAAAGCGAACGGUUGGUUCUCUGGUAAAAUGUCGGCAGGGCCUGAAAAGUACACCAAAAUUUGCCACAUUGUGAGGCUUCGACAAAUGUUGCAGCGGUGGAGGAACAAGGCCCGAAUGUCAGCCCGCCGUAUCCCUUCCGAUGUGCUAGUAGGUCACGUGGCGAUCUACGUCUGGACAAGUUACAGGAGAUAUGUGGUGCGCGUCUUUAGGAAACUCCUUAUCCAAGCCAAGGAAGAGUAUGGGUUUAGUAACCAAGGCUUGUUAGCCAUCCUCUGCGAUGAGUAGGUUGUCGAACAAGUGAUCCAGCUUAUUUCUGGGAAUCAUAAGUAAGCUUGAUUUCGCAACCGAAUCUCGACCCUUACUUUAUGGCUCCGCUGGUAAAGAACGAUAUAGUGGAAUAGAAAGGAAAGCCUUGGAUUCUUACAUAGGGAUUUUGAGUCAGUUUUUAGUUGGCUCGAGUGAAUAAUUACGUGAAACCAAUGAAUUGGCUUUUUGUUUCUUUAUUUUUUUUAAAAAUUGUUGCUAAUCGACUAUAAAGGGGAAAGGGGGUCAAAUGAGUUGAGUCACUGUAUUAACUUGGAGCAAUGCAUGGGGAAUUUUUACCAAAUUAAUACAAAAAAAAGGUACUAAAAUAAUACAAAGGCAAAAGUAUGUACUAAAAUGGUACAUUUAGGGUGGUGCCGCCUUUGGCAGAGGCGUAACCACCCUAUCCCUCUGACAUCUGUCACCAAAUUAGUUAAAAAAUAAAUUGUAUUAAAAAAAACAUAAACUGUUUUUUAAAAAAAAGAGAGGAGGGUGUGCCAAAAGCGGCACUGGUGAAGCCUCUGUCAGGGGCGACACCAGUUGCUAACGUGGCACACAUGGCACCCUCUCCCCCAAACCUCUAUUUAAGCCAUCGAAGGCACACAGCAGUAAAAAAAAUUGCAAAAAAAUAGAGGGGGAAGAGAAAAAAGAAAGGAAGAAUAAAUAACUUUUUCCAGUAAAAAAAAUUACAGAAGAAGAGAGGGAGAAAAGAGGAAAAAAAAGGUAACUUUUUUUGUUAUUUUUAAAUAGAAUAGAUUAUGAUAAGAAAAAAUUAUUUUGUUAGUAUUAUAUAUUUUGUUUAGUGUUAUUUUUAUGUUUUGUUGUAAAAGUUAUUUUGUUUAUUUGUGAUUUGUUAGUAAGUUUUGUAUUUAGAAAUUUUGCUUAUUUUUUAACAGAUUGAGUAUUGAGGAUGGAUAAUCAGUUUUUCGAAUGCGUUUAUUUCGAUAGAAUCAUCUUGACAACAACUGUUGGAUGCAUAUUUGAAUGCUGGCAACAAAUAGCAAUGAGAUUUAAUAGAAAUGUCUCGUUGGAUGAUAUGAAGGGAAGGAUUAAAGCAAAAAUUGUACGACGUUGUAGGAGAAGGACCUCGAAACUUUUCUACAAGUUUCUAAUUUUGACAAAUCCUAUCAAAUUCACUGAAAUGGAACUUGUAGACGACGAAGAUGUAGAGAUAAUGAUCGCUCUUUAUGUGGGAAUGGGAGUGACAAAAAUGCACCAAUUCACUUAUUUGUUGAGUUAGCCGGUAUGGAGCAAAAUGAAGAUCUUACUGUAUAUGGUGAAGAACAUGGAGCUCAAGAAUCGUGCGUAGUGGCUCCAAUAUCAUACAUUGAUAGUGAAUCGACUAUACGUGGGAUCAGUAUCGAUCUUAAUGUUACACCCGAUAUUGAUGUAGUUGGUGAUGAUGGAUACGACAGUAGUGAUUCUUGUGAUCAAGAGUCGAUAGUGAUAGUGAUCCUAAUGUAGACGAUGUCCCCAAUGAUAUUGACGACGAAUAUGUGAUUGACAAUGGAAAUAUUAAUGCGUCUUCGAUCGGGAACCAGAUGCGACGUAUUGUGAUACACAAUAAUCCUAGGCCACACAUGUCGCUCAUAGACCCCGACGUGGUGCACGCAACUGAGUUCUCGGAGUACCCUGAAAUACUUCCUGAUUACCGGCUGGCAGUAAAUUCCAAUCUUGAGGAGUUAUUCGUAGGCCAAAGAUUCGAAAGUAAGGAAGAGUACGUAUUUUCUAUUAAGUGGUAUAACAUGAAUAUAUCAGUGGAUUACAAAGUUGCAGUGUCUAAACUGACAUUAUAUAUUGAGGAGUGUUGGAAGUUGGCGGAAGGCUGCAAUUGGCGGGUACGAGCUGCAUUUAUUCAAAAUUCGAAGAUGUGGAAGAUACAAAAAUUUGUUGGGCCUCACACAUGCACAUCAACUCGUAUGAUAGAAGAUCAUCAAAAACUUGAUUCUAAAACUAUCUAUACGUGUAUCAUGCCAAUGGUAAAGGACAUGCCGACCAUUAAAGUUUCAGUACUGUUUACCGAAAUGCAGGCAUGAUUUCAGUAUCGAGUAUCAUAUCGAAAGGCGUGGAUAGCUAACAGAUGGCAAUUGAACAAUUGUAUGGGGAUUUCGAUGUGUCAUAUAAUGAGCUACAUGGAUGGAUAGCUGCUGUGCGGGAGUAUGUAUCGAGGACUGUCAUUGAGUUAUACAAACACGACCUUAUUAUGGCCCGGAUGACCAACUACAGCGGGGAAAAAGAAUUUUCCUUCGAAUGUUCUAGACGUUUGAUCCAUGUGUGUGGGCAUUUCCCCACUGCAAGCCGUUUGUGCAAGUGGAUGGGACCUGGCUAUAUGGAAAAUACACACAGAUCCUACUCCUUGAGGUUGCUUAAGAAGGCAAUAAGAACGUACUCUUGAUAGCAUUUGUCAUCGUAGAUAAAGAGAAUAUGAAAUCUUGGGAAUUCUUCCUUACCAACCUGCGGAGGUAUGUUAUUAGCAAUGAUAAUAUUUGCAUCAUUUCUGAUAGAGGGAAAUGAUUAAUUGCCGCAAUUAGGCGUUUCGGUGUGUCAUGAAGAUCCGUUUACUGCAUCCAUCACAUUGUGACUAACUUCCAUUGAGAUUAUAAAAGUGCAGACUGAAAGAGACAAAUAGUGAAAAUGGGUAAAUGAUAACCUUAUCUUUUUAAUAUAAGGUAUCAAACUUCAUUAAUGUAAACUCUAUAUCUUCUUUGUCUUUUUUCUUUCUAAUAUAAAACUUUCACUCACUGUUUCUCUUUGUAUAUAUAUAUGGGUGAAUAUAUUUGAUAACUACUUUUAUUAUAAGAAUAGGAUUAAAAUAUUUUUUUUAUUAAAUUAAAUAAAAGAUUAAAUCGAUCUAUUUAAUAGUAGAAUGAAGAAUUUACUCUAGUCUCUAUAAUAAAGCAAUUUAACAUUUACUUUUUUACUCUAAUCUCUAUAAUAAAGCAAUUUAACAUUUACUGUUACUUAUAUAUAUAUAUAUAAUAGUAUAAUGACUUAUUUGACCCUCUAAUCUUAUAAAAAUAAUCAUUUUAGAAUGACUGAAAGAAUCCACAUGAUAUACCAUGUCAAUAAUUAAUUAAUUCUUUAAUUUAAAAAGUAUUUUUUUUAUUCUUUUAUAAUUUAUAAUAAUUUUAAAAUAAAUAUUUUAAAAUUUUAAAAUUUUAAAAUAAUUAAUUAAUUGAUAAUGUGGCAUUCCUUAUAUAGUACAUAAAUAAAGUCACAAACUAAAUGUUUUAGAAACUCUAGAAUUCUCUAGGAUUGUAUAUACUUGUAUAGCGUAUUUAAGAAUCAUAAAUUUGAUCCUACAUUUGUAUUGUUUGUAACCAUUAGAUGGAGAGGGCUUGGCCUAUAAAUAAGUACAUACUUUUCUUUAUACGUAAUUCAUUCGUUUAACAAUAAUUGAGUAAAACUUUGAAAAAUAAAAUCUUUUUAAAAAGAUAAUUUAAAUGUAAAAAGAUUAAAAUUUAUACAUUUUGUCCAAAAUAUUUUAAAUUUAUUUUCACGUAUUUUUUAUUAUUUUAUAUUUACAUAUAAAGUAGAAAGAAUAAUUUUGACAAAUUAAAUUUUUUUGAGCAUGUAACCUAAUCCAAAUUCAUUUCAAAUUGUUAUGUUACUCAAUGUUGUGCUUUUUUAAAAAAAAUUAAUUAUAUAUUAUAUUUUAUCAAUCAAUAUAACAAUUUCAGUAUAUAUAGCUUCUUAGUAUUUGUAUAUUUAAUACAAAUAUGGAUUAAUAUUUGAUACAAUUUUACCCAUCAUUUAUUUUUUGGUAUCACUUAGUUUUGAGGGUUGAUUUGAAAUCAAUGUGGUUAGUUUUGCAUUGGUUUCACUUGUAUUGGUUACUACGUAUUACUUUAAUAAUAAAAUUCUACAUACCAUUAUCACUAAAUUUGUGUAUAUAUAAAUAUAUAUAUAUUUGAAAAUUUUCUUUAAAAAAAAUAACAUUUAAUAAUCAAAUAGUGAAAUCUUUAAAAAAUAUUAUUUUAAAAAAAAAUUAAAAUAAACAAAAUGUAGCUAGCUUUCAAAUGUGGAUGAAAAAUUAAAAUAAUGAAAAUUUGAAAUCAACACAAUCUAUAAACGAUUAAAGUUAGAUGGAAUGUAUAAAAAUUUAAAAUAAGCAAUACAUGAGGAAGUUUAAAAUAGAUCAUAUAAUAAAAUAGAAUUUUAAAAUAGACCGAUCAUAAAAUAAAACAAAAUUUUAAAAAAUAUAUAUAUAAAUGAAAGUAUAUGAAAACAAAUUAAAAAACUGUAAAAUUAAUAAAACAACACAAAAUAACAUAUUAAAAUAACUUUAGAACUGAAUAACAAAUAAAUUGAAAAGAAUUAAAGAAUUACAUAAGAUAAAAACUCAAUUGAAAUGAAUACAAAUUGAAAGGGAUAAUUUGUUAAUAAAUAAACUUAUGAAACCAAAUCGAGGACUAAAACACAAUGUGCGCAAAUAAAAAAGUAUUAAAAACUGAAAUAAGCCAAAUCUCAAAACAAAGCCGUUUCAUACACUAUAUAAAAUCAAAAUAAAACUCUAAAGCUUGCAGUAUUUUGCCAUUUUACAAACAGACAGAAAAAAAAAACUUGAAGUUCUCUUAACUCGUAUAUUCAGCCAAUUCAAACCUCUCCUCAAACACCACUAUUCUACUAGAAACGGUGACCGGCGACGCGUAGAGGUCCGAUUUACAAUCAAGACUCAAAGGCUGCCAAUUUCAGCCUUGAAAUCCCCUCCAGAACUCCGAUUUCAACUAAGAAUGAGAAGAUUCCAGCGGCCUAUUUGCGAAUGUAAGCCCCUCCCUUUUCCUUUUAUUCGCAUGCAAUAGGAAAUGAAUAAAAGAUCAAAGAAAAAGAAAGAAAAUCGGAAGACAAAAAAUCACCUUUUAACUCUUGAUUUUUUUUGAAUGAUUUUUAUUUUCUUGUAUGUGUGUGUACAAAAUAAAAAUGGGAUCAGAUCUAAAUUAACCCUCUUUCUUUCAAAAUUUAGUUUGCGUAUUUGUGCUUGUGUAUACAAUAUGCGUAGGUGUGGGUGUAUACAAAGAAAAUUAGCCCCGAUUUACAGAUUAGAAUCGGCCUUUUAUAGCCUAAUGAAAAGAAAAAAUAAAAAUAAAAUGCUAAAUUCUAUUAUCCUCUCUGUCAAUUGCUGGCUGCUUGCUUUCUGUUUUCUAAUAUGUUGCUGGCCUUUUUUUGUAUUUAUUUUGUAUUUAUUUUUUGGUUUUAAUUUUUGGUUUCUAAAAGGCCAGGCAAAAUGGGCCUAUUAGAAUUAUCACUAAAUUUGUGUGUGUAUAUAUAUACACUACAAGAAAACAGACUUUUAGCGGCGUUUUUAGUGGCGUUUGAACAAAAAACGCCUCAAAUAUUAUACGUUAGCGGCGUUUACUUAAAAAUACCGAAAAAAAGAGAAAUAACGGCCUUUUUUACCCAAACGCCACUAAAAACUGAUCAAUAGCAGCGUUUUUAUCUAAAACGCCACUAAAAACUAAUCAAUAACGGCGUUUUUGUCUAAGACGCCACUAAAAACUGGAGGAAUAGCGGCAUUUUUAUCCAAACGCCACUAAAAACUGGAGAAAUAACGGUGUUUUUGUCCAAACGCCACUAAAAACUGGAGAAAUAGCGGCAUUUUUGUCCAAACACCACUAAAAUUGAUCAAUAGCGGCGUUUUAGGCCCAAACGACACAAAAAAGUUUAUCUAUAGCGGCGUUUUUGGUUCAAAUACUGAAAAAAAUUGAGCUUCCAUUUUUGAAUAGGGUAACCAACACUCGUUUCAAUUUGAUCUGAUUUAAUUUUCAUAUUAUUUUCUUAUUAUUUUCAUAUUAUUUUCAUAAUUUUUUUUGAAUUCGAUUUAAUAUAAACUACACCAUUCAUUUAACUAUGAGAAAGUUUCAUUUUAAUUACUUAAUUAUGAAAAGUUACAAAUUGAUAACUAAACUAUUUAGAAGUUUUCAUUUAAGUUACUAAGCUGUUAAAAUCGACGUUGUAUGGCUUUCUCUAAACCCUUAAACCCUAAACCUUAACCUUAAAUCCUAAAUUCUAAAAACAUAAACCCUAAACACUAAUUCAUAAAUUCUAAAACCCUAAACCCCUAAAAAAAUUCAUAUGGAUGUUGAUGUGUGUAUAUACAUAGAUAAUGUAAAAGCUUAUGUUUAUAUUAAUAAAUUGUGGAAGCAGUACUUAAUAUUGAUUAAAUUUAUUUUUGGGUUUAGUGUUUAAUAUUUAAGGUUAAGGCCUAUGGUCUAGGGUUGAAAUGGUAGUAUAUAUUUUAAGUUCAUGGUUUAGGGUUCAAUGGUAGUAUGUGAAGUUUAUGGUUUGGGGUUUGCUAUUUUGGGUUUGGGGUAUAGUGUUUUAAAUUAGUUUGUUAUUUGGGGUUUGGUGUUUUAAAGUGUUUAGGGUCUUAGUUUUCAAGGUUUUAAGGGUUAGGGUAUUAGGGUUUAAGGGCUUAAGGGUUAGUUGAUUAAAUGAUGCUCUGGUUGAAUCUAGGUUUUAAUUUGGAGUGCUCGGAGUGUGGUUUAAUUAAAUAGUUGAUCUCAUGUUUAUACAUAUAUUUAUGAUGUAUAUAUGUUUAUAUUCCCAUAUAAUUACGCAAGAUUUAGUUUUACGAAAUUUGAUGAGGUGGUUCUUAAAAUUAUUGAAUACGAAAUGUUAACAUGAAAUUCUCAAACUUGAAUCAAUUUUAAAAAUAGAAUAAAAUAAAUUUAGUAUUUUUAUUUUUUAAAUUAAAUUCACUUAAUUAUAAAAUUCGUGCACACUUUAAAAUUUAUAGCCUCAUGAUUAAAUAUUGAAUUUGAAUUUAUAAUUUCAAAAUCUAAAAAACAAUAUGUGUUUAAUAACUUUCUUUGCAUGUAAUCGACUCUCGAAAUUAAACUUGUACCUUACUUUAAUUUUAAGAUGCAGAUAAUAAUGAUCUCUUAAAGGAAUUUUUUUAAAAUUUUAUUUUAUGAAAGGUAAUUUUAUAAGUAUUGCUGACACCUAGUUAAAAAUAUCAAUGACAACUCUUGUAUUUUUAAUAAAAACCUAAUGUUUUAAAAAUUUUCAUUUUUUUUUCGACGUUGUUAAGUUCAUUUUUAUCAAAAAUGGUUUUGAAAAUAUAUAUUUUUAUCUCAAUUCAUUUCAUGUUUUAAAUAAUUAUUAGAAAUUAUUUUAAAUUGAUUUUAUCUAACAUUUAAAUAUUAAAUAUUUAAAUAAUAAUUAUUCAAUAUAAUUAAAAUUUUUUCAAAUUAGAUAUAUUGUUUGAAAGAAAACAAAUUAACUAUUAAAAUUUAUUACUAUCUAAUGCAUUAGUGGCGUUUUUGACAAAAACGCCACAAAAAAGUUCACUUUAGCAUAAACAGCGUCAUUCUAUGUUGUGUCUCCAAGGGAUUUAGCGGCGCUUUUUAAAAAACGUGCUAAAGAUCGAGAAUUAGCGGCGCUUUUGUAAAAGCGCCGCAAAAGAUCGAGUUUUAGCGGUGCCUUUUUCAAAAACGCCGCUAAUUCUCGAUCUUUAGUUGGCACAUAUCAGCAACCGGACCUCAGUGGAGUUGCACUCUUAUUUGCACCCUUUCUGCCCUUUGCGUUUGUUCUGAAAUCCAUCUCUCCAAGUAAAGGAUGCUUCUCUGCCAUCACCUUGUAUGGUUUUGGCUGCGGCAAAUUGUUGUUAGCUGCGUGUGGACACUGUUUCGGGAAGUUGGGACAUCAUGAUUAUGUUUUCCCUCGUAUGUUGUUAUGACAGCUCUCGGAUCCAUGGAGCUUUCCACAUGUUUCCGAACAUUGCAUCCUUCAUUCGUGCAUUUGUAGUAGCUCCUGUUGGAAUAACUUAGAUGUAUGAUUGAAAGAUAGAGCUCAAAAAGCAAAACAAAUAGCACCAGAUGGGGAAGUAGAUCAUCAACUGUGACCGAGACUCAUGCCCCAAGUCCGAUUAAUGUAGGUCACAAUCAUUAGCAGUCCUAUCGGUGUAUGCCUAGUAUUAAAAUGCUCCAUGAAAAUAGAUCAUAUAAAUUCUAAGAUGUCAGUUUGCCAUUGUAAUGCACUAAAAGGUUCGUACCAAUGCUAAACACCAUUUUUUCAACUGGUUCAUAUCCCCAAACCCAUGUCUCAAUAUGUGCCAAACACAGGUGUCAAACAAGGGUACUUGAAGAAUGACGAGUCAGAGCAGCCUAGAAUAGAACCAUCGAUAAAGAAAAUUAUAUGAUAGUCCAUUGUACCUUGGAUGAGGGUUCCCUUUGACAACUUUCUGACCAUAUUUGCGCCACCGAUAGCCAUCAUCUAAGAGUUCAACUUCACUUCUCGUUUGCACAACAAUUUUCGGUUCCGUGACUGUCUUAUGUGAGAAGGUUAUCGCAGCUUCCGUAGCAGCAUUCCUGCAGUCAAAAGCACACUGCACUAAGAACUAUCGAUGGUAAAGAUACAUAAAUUUUCAUGAUCAGUUACAUUUGAUUUGAGACUCACCUUCUUUUCGGAUUCGGUUCAUCAUUAUUAUCUCUUUCGUCUCUACCCUCUUCGUCACAAUGUUCCUCAUUCUCACUUGAUCCAGGUAAUUCAGCAGCUUCAGUAGAUUCAUGAUUUUUCCCAUGUAUCGAACACACUGGUACAGCAGCAUUUUAACUUGUUCAAGUUUCCGGUUAAAGCCUGAGAACCUAGUUCAGGAGCCUGUGAAUUUGCAUUUCCGUCGCUACUGCCCAUCCCUUGUUUUUUUGGUGGAGGCUUUUCAUGAUUGUGUGCACCUUUGUAUAGAAUCUCAGUUAUUAGGCCAUCGGUAGAUCGCUCAACCUUCUUCUUGACAGGGCAUUUCAAAUGCGUACAUUUAUAGUAGCUUCUCGAAUAUUCACAGCCUUUAAUUGGCUUCUGUCCAUACUUACGCCAGUUGUAGCCAUCUUCAGCAGGUUUAUCCACAGCAACAGAAGGCUGAUUUUUACUAUCAAAUUGAGAAGCUUCAGCGUACUCCAUUGUAGAACUUUCUGACCGUAUUUGCGCCACCGAUAGGCAUCAUCUAAGAGUUCAAUUAAAACGACGUCGUUUCUUUUGCGAUUUAGUGACGUCAUUAUGUUUAACAAAACGGCGCCGUUUUUGUUUCAUCCAUUUCACCCCAAUGCAAACCCGAAACCCUUAUUUUCCCCCAAAUCAAAAUUUCCCCUAAACCCUAAAUUUUCCCCAAAUCAAACCCAUUUGCCGUCUCCCUUUCUCUUUUGGUUCGACAGGUUUCAUUUCAUUUCGAUUUCUAAUCAAACUCGAAGCUCCUUGUUUCAUUUCGAUUUCAUUUCUAUUAUUUUUUAUGUGGGUUACACUUCUGUUUUAUUUUUGCAGCAAGCAGAAAGAUUAAGGGAUUUCAUUUUCGAAAUCAAACCCGACUGAAGGCUAGCUUUUGCGAGUCCAAAAAAUCAAGGUACUCUCAUUUAGUUGUUCUUUUGAACCCUAGACUUUAGCAUGCUGACAUUGGUAAUCUUAGAUUGUUGUGCUUCUCUCUCUUUUCGGGGUUUUGGAGAUGUUUGGGUUUUUGAAAUUUCAAAAUUUGAUUUAGGGUUCUGACAGUAAGAACAUACGUGUAUGGAAAAAUCUUAAAGAAUUUAAUGGUUUCAAAUCAAAUAGUGGAUUGGUUAAAACCAUUGUUAUAGCAGGUGCAAAGAUUUUUACUGGUCAUCAAGAUGGUAAAUUUCGUGUAUGGAAAGUAUCUGUUAAGAACCCUGGUGUUCAUAAACGAGCUGGUACAUUACCAGCUUUGAAAGAAAUCCUCAAAAGUUCAAUUAAACCAAGUAAUUACAUUGAAGUGAAACGCAAAAGAUCUUUAUGGAUCAAGCAUUCAGAUGCUGUGUCAUGUUUGAGUUUAAAUGAAGAACAUGGUCUUCUUUAUUCAGCUUCAUGGGAUAGAACAUUUAAAGUAUGGAGGAUUUCUGAUUAUAAAUGUCUCGAAUCGGUUAACGCGCACGACGACGCGGUGAAUUCAGUAGUAUCGAGGUCCGGCAGGGAGAUGGUUUUCACCGGUUCGGCCGACGGGACGGUUAAAGUAUGGAAAAGGGAACAACAACGUAAAGGGAAAAAACAUAGUUUGAACCAAACAUUGUUACAACAAGAAUGUGCUGUUACAGCAUUAGCAAUUGAUGUACCAGGUUCGGUUUUAUAUUGUGGUUCCAGUGAUGGCCUUGUUAAUUUUUGGGAACUUGAGAAAGGAUUAGCACAUGGUGGUGUACUUAAAGGACGUAAAUUAGCUGUUCUUUGUCUUGAAGCAGCUGGGAAUUUGGUGUUUAGUGGUUCAGCUGAUAAAACUAUAUGUGUUUGGCGUAGGGAUGGUAACAUUCAUACAUGUCUUUCGGUUCUAACCGGACAUACAGGACCGCUUAAGUGUUUGGCAUCGUAAAAUUCAUGGAGUUGAGCUAAUUUUGGCCGAAUGGCUGGUGAUGGCUAAGGAAAAUGCUACUUCUUGAAUUCUUUUAAUGCAUGCAUCGGUUAUGUGAAGUUAUCCCUUGCAUGCAAAGCCAUGCACGGUUUUUUUAUUGUUAUUACCUUGUAAAUAUGGUUUGGUUAUUAUUAUUGGGAAUUUUCAAUUGAAAAAAAAUACAUUUCUAGCUAACUAGAUAAAUAGAAUAUAUUUUUGACUCCAUUUAGACAUAGGUAAAUGAAAAUUCAUUAUUAUGAUUAUGAAUAAUUUUAUAAAAAAUUUAAUAAUUUAUUAAAACAAAAAAAGAAAUACAUAGAAUUAGAAUAAUUAGAAUAAUAUAAAUAUGAUAGAAUAGAAUAAAUGGAAAAGGAGUCAAAGCGAUAUAAUACAUUAAGAAGUGGUUAUUAGUGGUAUUUAUUGCAUAUGAUAUGAAUUGUAUGAGACUGUAAUGAGUUCUAAUAUGAAUACAGAAAUGUUUAAGUGCCUUCAUUGCACCUUGGUGCCCUGUAAACACUUCGGUGUCCCUGUUUGCACAAUUGUGCCUCUGAAUGCACAGUUUUGCCACCCCAUUUGGUAAACACCUUCACCUAUACAUAUGGCACAAAAACAAAGCAUAAUAGGCAAUCCAAAACAACUAAAUCAAGCCUAAAUACUACCAUUUCAUAGGUGGGAGGAAGCAUUGGCGAGAAAGGGGAAGGAGCAAGUCAAUCGGCUAGAUAGCUCAACUUGGAGAAAUUUUAGUAAGUUCUUCAAAGGUAACGUGUAAAAUUAUUAUGUUUGAAAUAUAAAUAUUUCAUGCAGGAGUGGUUCGGCAAAUGGACUGUUAAAAUUAUGAAUUUAGGAGUUAAAAAUACAUGCUGAUUUUUAUUUUUAUUUUACCGAAAUGUUGCUGUUAGAAGAGAUGUAAAUGUGAGAAGUAUAUGCACGGGUUGACUGCUGAAUGUAUUUUGUUUCAGCAUGCGACUUGUAUAACUGGUCUGCUGCUUUGGUGUUAAAGGAAAAUAAAAUAUUAGUGGUUAAAUGUUAAACUUGGCCACUGUUUUAAAGUUGAAUAAGUCAUACUGUAAUUGUAACAUAUGUUAUGCUACUAAAUUAAUUGAGAGUAAAGUGUCAAAUUUACUAUCCAAUGCACUGUCAUUUGUGCUGAUUUUCUUCAUUAAGUUCUGCUGUCCGAAUCUGUUGUUGAUAUCAAAUUAUAUGCAAUGCACUAUGAGAUUGUAUAUGCAUGUAAAUUUGGUUUUUUUGGAGGUUUGGAUGGGUUGUAUGGAGAUUGAAUAUAUUGUUGGAGACCAGAUGUUGCAGUGAUUAUUCAUUUAAAUGUAAAGCAAAGAGUUUACUGAAUUUAUAAUGCGAGACCAGUUAUAUUAAAUGGUUGAUAUGUAGACACUUAUAUGUUUGUUCCACAUUAAAAACACUACUUUAGGUUCAACAUUUUUUGAUGUUUUAUUGUCAUUUUUGGGACCUUAUUUGCAGUACUUUAGGUACAUCAAGAACAGGUCGUUCCAGAAUAUAUAUUUUCAGUUCAGAUACUGUUUUUUUUUUUUUUUUUUUUUUAUGAGUAUGAAACUAACUUAUUUAUGAUCAGUGACUCUAAUGGCACAUAUUUGUGUAUAUAUAUAUAUUUGAAAAAUUCCUUUAAAAAUUUCGAACCUAAGACAAGCCUCUUACCACCAUUCUGUCCCAGCCUCCUCUUUCUCUUGUCGCGUUCAAGUUUCCAACAGACUAGGAAAUUUAUUAAGGUAGUUUUUCAAACCCUAAACCUAAUUUGAAGAUUUUGAGUGAAGAGAUUUUUAAUUAUCUGAUCUCUGUCUCUGCUGCUAUAUUUUAUUUUUUGUUUUCUAUCCUACUGCUCGUUAUUCCGUCUGUUUACUUCGUUGAGAAGGAGAAUUUUUUUUUAAAGCUAUCAGUUUAGUGGCAAUGGCGGAUUUGCGGUCGCCACUGUGAAUUAGCGGCUGCAUCACCGCUAUUUGAAACUCUGACUUGCUAUUAAUUUUGGAUAUUUAUUGCAGCUUCAAAUGGAAGGAUUAAGCGUAGCAGAUGCUAAUUUGGUGAUGUAUUUACACCCAUCAAAGAGUAGGAACGUGUCUCAGUCGAUUCUCCGUGAGCUUGGCUCUUUGCUAUUCAAGUUAGUUCUUUUACUUUCACUUAAAUUUAAUUUUUCAUAUAACUCAAAACUCCUGUUUUUGUUUAUUAUUUUUUCUUCACCAAAAGCUGUUUUGUGUUGAUAUUGCUUUUGAUUUAAAUAAAGUAUACCUUAAUUUUGUUUGGUCUGUUUUCUAGUUUAGCUGAAAAUUGAACUUCUGAUGAUGAAGCAAAUGAUACUGUGGCUCUUUUUAAACAAAUGGAGAAGUUUAUUACUGUUGAGAAUAUAAGCUUUUAAACAGGCUGAAUUUAACUGCAAUGUCUGGAUCUAGUAGUGUGAUUCUUUUGACUCCGUUGGGAUCAAUACUAAAUCAAUAGGUUUUGUAAUGAUGCACUUCACUUGUAAUGUUGAUUAUAAGAAUGAAAUUAUGUGCGAAUAUUUGCUUCCUUUUAUCCUGUUAUAAUAUGAAGUGGUUCUGUUCUUGCAGGUUCAAUGAAACAUUUGAUGGUGUUUUAUUGGCCUAUGAUGUCAAUAUUCUGGAUAAACAGGCGAAAAUUCUUUCCGGUGUUCAUCCUUAUUUUGGUCUUAGACUAAAAGCAAAUCUCCUACUUUUUUCACCAAAGCCAGAUAUGCUCUUAGGUACCAUUUUUUCAUGAUAUUUCAGGUUAUUUAUUUAGUUUUUUUUUUUCUUGUAGUGGAUAUCACACUGCCGGUAUGUAUUUAUGGAUCUUCAUGCCUAAGAUGUUGUCUAAACUAAUUUUCUUUGCCACAUUCAGAGGGGAAGGUAGUGAAGCUUUCUCAAGAAUCUAUUCAUGUUAUUGUUCUCGGUUUCUCGUCUGCCAUCAUAACAGCUGAAAACAUUCGUGGAGAAUUUAAAUAUAGAACCGUAACACUUUUCUACCUUGUUCUUAAUUUUUUUAUUUUCUUUGUGUGUUGGGUAUGUGUAUAUGGCAAGAGACUACAUGUAUUACUGUAGUAACUUUAGUGUCUUAUUGUAUCAUAGAAAGACAAAGAGGAACUAUUUGCCAGCAAAUCUCACAAGCGACAUGUCAUAAAGGUUGGAACCAUGAUCCGAUUUUUAGUCAAGAGGUGACAAUUUCCUUUCAAAAGAAACUAUCCUUUUAAUUUUAGGAAUGGAAUAUGUUUUUCAUUGUUGUACUGUUCUGGUUACCAUCAAUAGUUAAUUGUAAGCUGGAGAGAAAUGGUAUUCUUUAUGGUUACUAGGGUUAUUUUCUUCUACCAUCUAAAAUUGUAAAUUGAGAUUGCGGAGAAGUUUAUUUGCCCUGCUUAUUGAUAAUAUAUAUAUUUAUAAUCUAGAUUUUCAUUAUGCCUAUUGAUAUCUUGCCUCCGUACUUUUGUGAUUUCCUUUGUUUAAUUUUUAAUCCAUUACGAACCAGUGGAUCAUAUAAUCUUGUUGCUUCUUUAUACCUCGGUUCUGCAUGCUUUUCCACUCAAUAAUGCUUCAUUGUGGUUCAUCAAGUCAAGUUGAUAUGUAUUGGAGAUUUACAACUUAUUUGAAGUUAUGAUUUCUUGUGUUUUUAUUUUUCCCUCGGAGAAAGGGAAGGUGCGGUGGUUAAUGACAUGUUCAUCACAUGGUUUUUUACACUGAUUCUUUUAUUGCAGUUUUGAUGAGGAAAUACUUCAUAUUAUUGGAUCUCUGAUAUCAGCUCACACAGGAAGCAUUCGUUGGUUGGAUAGACAUUUGGAGGAAGAUUCAGAAUUUGAUAGGUCUUUUAGUAAACUCAAAAGUUUUAUAUAGCAACCUUUCUGUAUUUCAACUUGCGAAAGUUUUAAUUUAAAUGUUGUAUAAUCCUAUAGGAGUUCUAUGAAGAGUAGAGAUAGAGAAUGGCUUGGGGAUAAAACUGUUGAUGAGGGAGCAACUCCCAUGAGCUACGAUAAUCAUAUUAAAAUGUCGAAAAAGCGUAGAAUCACAGAAUGAUGGUGAUGAUUGCUUCAAAUUACUAAUUAUAUAAGGAGAUUUCUUGUUGUCAGGUAAUUCAUUGACCAAUUCUUGUGCUCACAAUGAGUACUGCUAAUCUUUUAUUAGUGUUGAAGUCUUCUCCUAAAUAACUUUUACAUCCUCUGUUAGAGUAAUCAAACUUGUGAACUGUUGGUAGUAUUGAUGAGUUAUGCAUAAAACACAGUACCUGUUUUAGUUUAUGUUCAUCUAUUUGCUUUUCUUACAUCUUGUAUGAGAACCUUUUGAUGUUAACUUUUUUGCCUACUUUAGUCUUAUACAUUAAUCGCUUAUAAUUACAAGUGUACUGCAAAAUAUGUGCUAGUACAUGUAGUGGGGAGUGGUGGGCUUAAGGUCCAUGUAGAUGAAGGUAUAUUGCUUCUGGUGAUUGCUUCGGUAAGGAAUUGUUCUUCUGUUGAAGCUUGCUAAAAUUUUGAAAUCUUCCCUUCAGUUUUUGUGGUCGUCGUUUUGUAUGUGACCAAGAUUGAAAAUUCCAGAUUCCCAAGUCGAUAAAAGAGAUCGCAAUUUUUUUCUCCUGUGAAGUAGGCAAUUUUUGUUUCCUAAUGAUGUAUGUUAAGAGUGACUUUUUUGUACGUUGUACAAGUAUAGACUUGGUCUUAUCUAUAAUAUGUUAACAUCGAAUUUAGCAAAAGGAAACGCUUUGUCCCCUUGUCUCAUGAAGGCUUCAUGUCAUCUUUUAUGCACUUUCAAUUUAUGCCAACGUUUACUAGGUAAAAGUAGUCGAAUUGCAUUUUACGUGCGACUAAAAAAAUAGAUAAAUUAAUCCCUGUAGGUUAGAUCCAAAAGUAAACUGGUCAUUUCUGUUAAAAAUUUUGUUCAUUUUUACUGUUUAAAAUUGGGCAUGUCUUGUGUAACUAUUUGGUUCUUUCGUCAGUUAUUUCAGUUUUUUAAUAGUAUAAAUAGAUUAAUUUUUAAGAGAAAGGACUAGUUUACUCAUUGAUUUAACGUAAAGGGACUAAGUGUCCAUUUUUUAGUAAAGGGAGCAAAAUGGAGUUUGACUUUUAGUACAGGAACAUCCAUGAUACAUUUAUUAUGUUCAUUGGUGAAACAGUUUUGCAUAUUUUCCGGCUGCCUAUGUCUGUGUUGCAGUGAACCACUUUCUAGAUCUAUGCCAGCCAAUGCUUCUCCUUUCUUAUUUAGGGGAAUUCACGUUUUUAAUUUGGAAAAAGAAAAGAAGUCAACUGGCAGGGAGUUUGAACUUGGGAUUUAUGGUGGAUUCUCAUAAACUUUUGCUACAAUUAUCUAAUUAGCCAGCAACACUAAGAAAGAACAGAGAAUUUACCUUUUGCUUAUUUUAUUACCAAUGAUUAUGAAUCAAUUUUCAAUUUUUUUGUAUAAGUGGGGAGGGAGGGGUUGUCGUCUUUGAAUCCAAGAUUUGGUUUCGAGAAAUGUUGUGUAGUAACGAAAUAUAUGUUUUUGACAAGUGGGCACGAAGACCUGCGUAGCCGAUAUGCAGUGACUCUGAAAAGUUAAACUAAACCUGCAUGUUACAAUAAAUUGCAUUUUUCGUUCAACACAUUAAAGGUUUACCCCCAUUGGUAUCACUAAAUUCUUUUGCUUGAUCGAAAGUACCUAGGGUAAUACAUUUGCUUGAUCACCCAAUACGAAAGUUGCUCUGGGUAAUAUAUAAAGUAGAGAAGAAAUUGUUAAAUAUAGUUUCAACUUAAAAUUUAUUUCAUAUUAUCUUUUAAAAAUAAUCGUAUAGUCACACGCUCUAGUGUAAAAAGUAUGCUCUCUUUCUUUACCUUUUACUUGUGUGAAAGUGGAUUUUUCCUACUAUUUUUCCUCUUUGGUUCAAAAACCCAUGAAGGAAGAAACUUGAAUGAGUUAGAUGAUCCAUGCCGCCUCCAACGUAGAUUUGAUGCUUUUGAUAGUGAAGAAUGAUGUUUUCUCUUUUUUUGGAGGAGUUUUAUGUUUUUUCGUAGCUUUUUUUUAUUGUGCUUUAGUGAUGUAAUUGAUUUAUGCAUUUGUCGAUCUUCCACAUCAUGAAAACAAGUCAUUUCCACCGUCAACAUAAUAAGCGAAUUCUAAUGGUCGAGAUAUACAAAUGAUCAAAGAUAAAUCAUGGCUUUGAGUAUGGUCUUUGUUUUCCUAACUUAAAACUUUUAUGAAUUUUAGCUUUACUCAUCUCUUUUGUUGAAUGAAUUUAUUUUCUUGUUCAUAAAUAAUAUACACCUAUUUGGGACACAUUUCAAUGAGAUUUGUGUAAAUCUAAUCAUUGUUGAUUUGGGUAUGGAACUAUACCAAUAUAUUAAACAAAGUAGAGGAGAUCUGUGUUGGUUUUGUGGAUCAUUUUAAUGGUGGAUUUUGACUUUUUAGAGUUGAACUAACUAAAUACAUUUCCUGUUGCACCAUAAGCUACUACUUAUGAUUGAAACUGCAGCUGGAUUUACAUAACAAAUAUUCGAUAUACAAAUGGAUAUCCUCUUUUAGCUGUUGAAAAUUGAAAAUCAUGUAUUCAUUUAUUCAUGCUCUAUUAUCAGGUAUGGAGUUUCUUUCAGAAAAAAAAAAUCCAUUUCGGGACCUAUGUUUGUAGGUUCAACAAUGAUUGAAAGAGUAGAAGAAUAAGUUGAUUGAUGUAAUGUUGGUCUUUUACAUGAUUCUCACUGUUCAUCAAACAUCCAUGUGAUCUCUCAUUAUUUUAAAUUGCAGAAUAUAAAAGAUGAUGAUAAACUUGUCCAUUAAAGUAUUAUGGAGAUAUUGCAUUAAGAGUCGGAUUUUAUUGUCUUUUAAGUUCAAAAGAUAAGUAAAUUAGUCUUUGUACAAUAAAUAAAAGAGUAAAUUAAUCUUGUAAUAUUAAAAAUUGGUUAUUAUAUGUUAACAAUAUUUCACAAAUUUGUAUUUAUUUAAAAAAAAAACAUAAAAUUAGGUGACGUGGCACGUUUCCAGCGAUCCAUGUUAUUAUUAUUAUUAUUUUUUUUUUUUGUAAUGGUUAGGGUAACGUGUUUGACGUUUGAAAACUUUAGAUAUCAAAUUGAUAAAAAAAAAUAGUUAUCAAAGUGAUAAUUGGGUGUAACUUUGGGGGUAAAUAGUACAUUAACCCUAUUAACAAAUAUGGUUAUUUUUGUAUUUAUCAAGUUUUAAUUAUUCUUUUCUAAAAGGUGUAAAACUAAAAAGUUUAUACAGAUAUACGUGAAUUUCUCUCUAUAUAAUACUAGAAUUCCAUCGCACUCAUAUGCAUGUGAAAAUCAUGCAUUUAGAUCAUAGAUGUGUUUAAAAAUAACAUACAAUAAGUAAUGAAAUGUAAGGUGUUGGAAAAAUUACGUUUGAAAAAGGCAGCAAAAAAUAGGUUUAAGGGAAAACUAGAGUUUUAAAAAAAAAUUUAAAAUAAGAACUUGGUUGUGUUAUCUAAAGUAAUAAACAUUUAAUCAAAAUAGUAUCUUUAUAAUUCGUCUAGGAUGAACGCUUCGACGGAGUAGUCUUCUCCGCUAUCCUCAAGCUCACGUUUGCUGAGUGUGGACUUAUUUUUAAUAAAAAAAAUUCACAAAAUUACCAGUGAGGCAAUUUUGUAAUUUCUUUAAACUUUUGAGAUCAAGUUAUAAAUAAUAAGAAUAUCUCUAAAAAUUUUCUGAAAUAAUUUUAAAAAAAAAUCUCUGUACAACUUUUCUUAAAUUCAAAUGUUUGAGAAUAAUAACCGAAGUUAUCUUUAUAUAGGGAGAGUUUAGAGAGAAUUUAACCAGGAUUCGAAUUAAUUACAUUAAUAUUAAAUUAAUAAAAUAUUAUCAAGAUAAAUAUUAAAUUAAAUUUAAUAUCUCAUAUCAAUAUUAAAUUAAUAAAAUACUAUCUAGAUAAAUAUUAAAUUUAUUAAAACAAUAUUAUCUUUAGAAAAGUUAAUUUGAAAUCAAAUUACUUGGUAGAGUCCCACUAGGAGUAUGAUUUUUCCACUACUCUACUGCCAAGAACCGUCGCUUUUGACAAUUCAACGGCUGUCGGGUCGCCAUUGUCAUAGUCGCUGUGCUUGGUGAUGCCAUCGUUAGCACAACUCCCUCUUGGCACCCUGAAUCGUUUUCGCUUUGCCCAAAUGGGCCUGGCCGAUUUGGUUUCAAUAAGUGACGACCCAAUCGAUCCGGUCCAGCCACCAGUUGGACCAUCAACCCAAUUUCGUACACAAGGCCCAUACACAAGUCAUGUACCUAACUAGUCGAUAUUGGCUCGAUAAUCUUUAAAGCAUAAGCUUUCACUUAUAUCAAAGCACAUGAAUUACAUAUGCAGUUGAGGCGGCUAAUAAAAAUAUAAAGGGGAUCGUGAGGAAAAUCGCUGAGACGUACAAGGAUUGGCAUGAAAAGCUACCAUUUGUUCUCUAUGCCUAUCGAACGAAGGUCAGAACUUUUACCGGGGCAACACCUUUCUCGUUGGUUUAUGGGAUGGAGGCGGUUUUGCCUAUUGAAGUCGAGAUUCCUUUUCUCCGAGUUUUAUUUGAAUUGAAGCUAGAUGAAGCAGAAUGGGUCCAAUCCCGGUACGAUCAGCUGAACUUGAUUGAAGAAAAUAGGCUGAAGGCUAUCCGUCAUGGUUAAAUGUACUAGAAGUGAAUGAUGCAAACUUACAACCAAAAAGUUUGCCGAAGAGUAUUCCAAGAAGGGGACUUGGUAUUAAAAAAGAUUCUCCCUAUGCAAAAAGAUUUCAGAGGGAAACGGAUGUCAAACUAGGAAGCACCUUACGUAGUGAAGAAGGCUUUUUUUGGAAGGGCACUGAUAUUAGCAGAAAUGGAUGGUAAAAGCCUUCCCAACCCGGUAAAUUCAGAUUCGGUCAAAAAGUACUUCACCUGAAAAAGAAGAGGUCAAGGCAAAAACUCGCAAAGGGCGCUUUGAAAAAAAAAGAAAAGGGAGAGGCCAAGGCGAAAACCCACAAAGGGCGCUUUGAGACCAAAGGGGUUUUGAGUUGAAAACCUGAAAAAGGGCAGCUCAAAUUGUGAUCAAAGAUGGGGCAUGUUGCGGCCUUGUUCUACCAAAAUUAACAAGAAGGAGGAGCAUUACAUCUUGGGGCAUCAACGAAAUACCUCGGACCUCUUAGACAUAUAUCUGGCUCCUAAUGGUUUUCGAACAGUCCGAAUAGUGAAGCUCACGUUGCGAUAUCUGGGGCACCUAUUUUCCAUCUUAUACAUUUUUUUUUGUACCUUAGCGAAAUUUGUUAUCAUGAUUAAUUUUCUACAUCGAGCUUCGCUCUCAAUAAAGUUUCAUCUUGUCCAUUUUGAUAAUCUUUUUCAAGCAUUUCCUAUUGAAACAUUUGGUUAAUGGACUAAUAACACUUUCAUAAAAGGAGUUCUGCAUAUUACUCUAGAAGCUUUUAAGUAGUGUAAGAACUCGAAACAGGUCAAUUAUUCAGAACCCACCAAGCUUGACGGUUAGAGUUACUUGAGAAGUAAAAAGUUUAAGUUAAGACUAUUGCUUCAAAUGUCUGUUAAAGAUAUCAGUUGAACGAGAAGAAAUACAUCAAUGACAAACAGCGAGCAAUAACAGCCUAAACGUUAAAAAGGGCAUUUUCACGACAAUCUGCAUUCAUUCAAAUGUCAUUCAUGUUACAUCUAGUUAUGGGCAUUUGAUUCAUUUCGAUCAUAGCAUCUUAAUUAUUUGACAUAAGCAUUACAUCUAGUUAGGAGCAUUUGAUUCAUUGCAAUCAUAGCAUCCUAAUUAUUUGGCAUAAGCAUGAUACAGGAAAUUGAUUUUAUAGAUCAUGUUUCUCACAGGACAGUACAGUGGCAUGGGUGAAUUCGCAAUCCUUAACCCCCUAAGCAGUAGGGUAACAUACUGAAAAAUACAGAUAUUCCUUAAACAGUAGUGGAACAGAUCGAAGACAGCAAGCCUUAACCCCCUAAGCAGUAGGGUAACAGAUUGCAAAUUAUAGAUCUUAUCACCAUGUAUCGGCUAUGGAGCAGAUCGAAAAUGGUGAGUCUUAUCUCUAUGUAUCGGCUAUGGAGCAAAUUUUAGCCACCGGCCUUAUCUCUCUGAGGUAGCAAGAGAGCAGGUUGAAGAUACGAGCUUUAACCCCCUAAGCAGUAGGGUUACAGGCUGUAAAUUACAGAUCUUAUCUCCAUGUAUCGGCUAUAGAACAGAUCAAAAAUGGAGAGUCUUAUCUCCAUGUCUCAGCUAUGGAGUAGAUUUUAGCCACCGGCCUUAUCUCUCUGAGGUAGCAAGAGAGCAGUUUGAAAAUACGAGCCUUAACCCCUUAAGCAGUAGGGUGACAGGCUGAAAAUUGCAAAUUUUAUAUUCUAGAAGUCGCAAUGGAGCAGGUUGAGGAUGUUGAGUGGAUUGAAAGUACAAUUCCUAUAUCCCUGAAGAUGCAGUGGGGUGGAGUGAGGCUACUUAAAGAAGAUGAGCAUAAAGAGGUCGAGAUAUGACAAGAACGGGCAAAAUUGCCCUUUGAAGGUCUUUGCUCCAUUCUCGUUACAUGACAAUGAGCAAAGAGGGGCAGCUGUAGACGGCCCAUUUCGCCUGGGGCCCAGAUCAAUACCAAAACCAAAACAAAAGCAGACCAAAUAAAAAAAACAAAGUCCAAAUUACAUACCCAACACAAAAACUAAAAUAAAGCCCAAUACAAACCCAAUUCUAAUACCCAUUUACAACGUAGCCCAAUUGGCCCACAAAUCUAAAACGGUUUCAGCAACCCUAGCGCCGCAAGCCAAUCCCAAACGCCACACAUCGCGCUGCCUUCCGCUCCGUGCGCCGCGCCACUCGCGCCUCCACGUCAGAGCCCACGUCCACCAUGCACCUACAAACAAGCGCAAAAAGAGCAACAGAGAAGUUCUUUUUUGUUUUUUCCAUUCGGCUAUAAAACGAAUCAAACAGAGUGUAAAAGGGAGGGUUUUUUUUUGUUUUUUUGAAUCUAAUAGCAGAGAACAUACACAAAAAACCAUAACAAUCGAAAAGAAACCGGAUCCAAGAUUUAAGAGGUUGUUUUUUCAUUUUUUUCCCUCGGAUUUUCGUUUCAUAUUUGUGAAUUUUUUUUCUUUUUCGUUUUUUACAAACUGAUUUUAAAAUUAAAAAAAUAAAAAGAAAGGGGACUUACCUUUUAAUGGCCUUCGAAUCCUUGUCUGCUUCGUUGAAAUCGAAGUUAGAUGAGGGUUAGGAGGAUACGACUCCAAAUAGAGUCGGAUUUGAUGUCAUCUGCCGAUUAUGAUGAUGAAUCGAUGGUGGGGAAGAACUGAUCGGCGCAAGAGCAGUGAAGAAUGAAAACCUUUUUAGACUUUAUCAAAUCUGGCGCAAAUAAUUUUGGCAAACAAGAUGGCUUAGUGUUUUAUGUAUAAUGAAACGAUGCUGUUUGGGUAAAACGGGUAGGGAUUUGUG
RNAcentral lists this long non-coding RNA (37318 nucleotides) under Gossypium barbadense (sea-island cotton). Its description in RNAcentral is "long non-coding RNA (GBAR_LNC007873)". Lineage: Eukaryota; Viridiplantae; Streptophyta; Magnoliopsida; Malvales; Malvaceae. The record is from RNAcentral.